RNAcentral lists this ribosomal RNA (3033 nucleotides) under Flavobacterium tiangeerense. Its description in RNAcentral is "partial 23S ribosomal RNA". It matches the Rfam family "Bacterial large subunit ribosomal RNA". Lineage: Bacteria; Pseudomonadati; Bacteroidota; Flavobacteriia; Flavobacteriales; Flavobacteriaceae. The record is from RNAcentral.
GACUUUAUGACCUUAGACUUUAUAACUUUCGAGCUAAAUAAAGUUCAUUGACAUAUUGAGAUAAGAAAUAAUAAAAAGUAGAAAGCGUUUUUUACUAUUUAUAGUAAAAGACAAAAAAAAACGGUCUUAAUUAAAUUUAAGAUUGGUACAAUAAGCAAAAUAAGGGCGUAUGGGGGAUGCCUUGGCUCUCAGAGGCGAUGAAAGGCGUGAUAAGCUGCGAAAAGUUACGGGGAGCAGCACACAUGCGUUGAUCCGUAAAUACCUGAAUGGGGCAACCCACUAUCUUGAAGAGAUAGUACACCGAUAGGUGGGCAAACCCGCUGAACUGAAACAUCUAAGUAGGCGGAGGAGAAGAAAACAAAAGUGAUUCCGUAAGUAGUGGCGAGCGAACGCGGAUUAGCCCAAACCAAUGUUGUUACGGCAAUGUUGGGGUUGUAGGACCACGAGAUUUUAUGUACAAGGAACCGGAAGUUACUGGAAAGUGACACCAUAGAGGGUGAUAGUCCCGUAUGGGUAACGAGUAUAAUGAAUAGUGGUAUCCUGAGUAGGGCGGGGCACGUGAAACCCUGUCUGAAUUUGGCGGGACCAUCCGCUAAGGCUAAAUACUCCUGAGAGACCGAUAGUGAACCAGUACCGUGAGGGAAAGGUGAAAAGAACCGUGAAUAACGGAGUGAAAUAGAUCCUGAAACCAUACGCUUACAAGCGGUCGGAGCCCUUUCGUGGGGUGACGGCGUGCCUUUUGCAUAAUGAGCCUACGAGUUAACGUUGCUGGCAAGGAUAAGUGGUUAAGCCACGGAUCCGUAGCGAAAGCGAGUCUGAAUAGGGCGCUUUAGUCAGUAGUGUUAGACGCGAAACCGUGUGAUCUACCCAUGGGCAGGAUGAAGCGCUGGUAACACAGUGUGGAGGUCCGAACCGGUUGACGUUGAAAAGUCUUCGGAUGACCUGUGGGUAGGGGUGAAAGGCCAAUCAAACUCGGAAAUAGCUCGUACUCCCCGAAAUGCAUUUAGGUGCAGCGCACGGCGUAAAGUUAUAUAGAGGUAGAGCUACUGAUUGGAUGCGGGGGCUUCACCGCCUACCAAUUCCUGACAAACUCCGAAUGCUAUAUAAUGUUUCCGUGCAGUGAGGGCUUGGGUGCUAAGGUCCAAGUCCGAGAGGGAAAGAACCCAGACCAUCAGCUAAGGUCCCCAAAUAUACGCUAAGUUGAAAGAACGAGGUUUGUCUGCCCAGACAGCUAGGAUGUUGGCUUGGAAGCAGCCAUUCAUUUAAAGAGUGCGUAACAGCUCACUAGUCGAGCGGACGAGCAUGGAUAAUAAUCGGGCAUAAGCGUAUUACCGAAGCUAUGGAUUUCAUAUUAAAUUAUGGAGUGGUAGGGGAGCAUUCUAACAGGGUUGAAGGUGUGUCGUAAGGCAUGCUGGACUGGUUAGAAAAGAAAAUGUAGGCAUAAGUAACGAUAAUGCGGGCGAGAAACCCGCACACCGAAAGACUAAGGUUUCCACAGCUAUGCUAAUCAGCUGUGGGUUAGUCGGGACCUAAGGCGAACCCGAAAGGGACAGUCGAUGGACAACGGGUUAAUAUUCCCGUACUAGUUAUUACUGUGAUGGGGUGACGGAGUGAUGAAAGCGCCGCGAACUGACGGAAUAGUUCGUUGAAGUACCUACCUAUAAGACCCGCAGGCAAAUCCACGGGUUUUGGGGAAAUACGAUAGUACUCGGAUACUUCGGUAGAAGAGAUAGUGCGCCUAAGGGCUUCCAAGAAAAACCUCUAAACUUCAGGUAAUAAGUACCCGUACCGCAAACCGACACAGGUAGUCGAGGAGAGAAUCCUAAGGUGCUCGAGAGAUUCAUGGCUAAGGAAUUAGGCAAAAUAGACCCGUAACUUCGGGAGAAGGGUCGCCAGCAGCAAUGCUGGCCGCAGUGAAGAGGUCCAGGCGACUGUUUAUCAAAAACACAGGGCUCUGCAAAAUCGUAAGAUGAAGUAUAGGGCCUGACACCUGCCCGGUGCUGGAAGGUUAAGAGGAGAUGUUAUCUUCGGAGAAGCAUUGAAUUGAAGCCCCAGUAAACGGCGGCCGUAACUAUAACGGUCCUAAGGUAGCGAAAUUCCUUGUCGGGUAAGUUCCGACCUGCACGAAUGGUGUAACGAUCUGGACACUGUCUCAGCCAUGAGCUCGGUGAAAUUGUAGUAGCGGUGAAGAUGCCGCUUACCCGCAGUGGGACGAAAAGACCCUGUGCACCUUUACUAUAGCUUAGUAUUGACCUUGGAUAAAUGAUGUGUAGGAUAGGUUGGAGACUGUGAAGUGGCGUCGCUAGGCGUUGUGGAGUCAUUGUUGAAAUACAACCCUUUGUUUAUCUGAGGCCUAACCCCAUAAUGUGGGGGACAUUGCUUGGUGGGUAGUUUGACUGGGGUGGUCGCCUCCAAAAGAGUAACGGAGGCUUCUAAAGGUUCCCUCAGUACGCUUGGUAACCGUGCGUAGAGUGCAAUGGCAUAAGGGAGCUUGACUGAGAGACAUACAGGUCGAUCAGGUACGAAAGUAGAGCAUAGUGAUCCGGUGGUUCCGCAUGGAAGGGCCAUCGCUCAAAGGAUAAAAGGUACGCCGGGGAUAACAGGCUGAUCUCCCCCAAGAGCUCAUAUCGACGGGGGGGUUUGGCACCUCGAUGUCGGCUCGUCACAUCCUGGGGCUGGAGAAGGUCCCAAGGGUUGGGCUGUUCGCCCAUUAAAGUGGCACGCGAGCUGGGUUCAGAACGUCGUGAGACAGUUCGGUCUCUAUCUACUGUGGGCGCAAGAAAUUUGAGUGGAUCUGAUUCUAGUACGAGAGGACCGAAUUGGACAAACCUCUAGUGUAUCUGUUGUCACGCCAGUGGCACCGCAGAGUAGCUACGUUUGGAAGGGAUAAGCGCUGAAAGCAUAUAAGCGCGAAACCCACCACAAGAUGAGAUUUCUUUUAAGGGUCGUGGGAGAUGACCACGUUGAUAGGCUAUAGAUGUAAAGGCAGUAAUGUCAUAGUCGAGUAGUACUAAUAACCCGUAAGCUUAUGUA